GAGUGUAUAGUUCAGUGGUAGAGUGCAUGCUUAGCAUGCAUGAGGUCCUGAGUUCAAUUCCCCAGCACCCCCA
RNAcentral lists this transfer RNA (73 nucleotides) under Camelus bactrianus (Bactrian camel). It matches the Rfam family "tRNA". Rfam says of the family: Transfer RNA (tRNA) molecules are approximately 80 nucleotides in length. Their secondary structure includes four short double-helical elements and three loops (D, anti-codon, and T loops). Lineage: Eukaryota; Metazoa; Chordata; Mammalia; Artiodactyla; Camelidae. RNAcentral also lists the same sequence under 1 other name. The record is from Rfam by way of RNAcentral.